GUGCUCACUUUGGCAGCACAUAUACUAAAAUUGUAAGGAAACAGAUUAGCACAGCCCCUGCACAAGGAUGACACACAAAUUUCUGAAGUGUUCCAUAUUUUU
This 102-nucleotide small nuclear RNA is filed under the name Ursus americanus (American black bear). The record is from RNAcentral. Lineage: Eukaryota; Metazoa; Chordata; Mammalia; Carnivora; Ursidae.